This 525-nucleotide small RNA is filed under the name Pan troglodytes (chimpanzee). Its description in RNAcentral is "retained intron". The record is from RNAcentral. Lineage: Eukaryota; Metazoa; Chordata; Mammalia; Primates; Hominidae.
CCUGACAGGGCGGCAUCCGAGUGGUUGCUGCGCUGCGGGGCCAUGGUGCGCUACCAUGGCCAGGAGAGGUGGCAGAAGGACUACAACCACCUUCCAACAGGCCCUCUGGACAAAUACAAGAUUCAGGCGAUCGACGCCACCGACUCUUGUAUCAUGAGCAUUGGAUUUGAUCACAUGGAGGGCCUAGAGCAUGUUGAAAAAAUAAGGCUGUGCAAGUGUCAUUAUAUCGAGGAUGACUGUUUGCUGAGACUUAGUCAACUUGAAAAUUUACAAAAAACCAUAUUGGAAAUGGAAAUAAUAUCCUGUGGGAAUAUCACAGACAAAGGCAUCAUUGCUUUGCGUCAUUUAAGGUAGAUGAUCAAAGCCAAAGUGGAAACUUGAUAAUGCUGUUAAGGUGAAUAGUUAGAAUUUAAUUGACUGUGAGGGGUGGUGUCUUUUUUUAGUUGUAAAAAAGAUAAUUUUUAAAAAUGACCUCACUUUCAUCUGUAAUACUUUAAAACAGCUAAAAUGAUCAACCUUAAUACA